Molecule: non-coding RNA, 1057 nt
Organism: Saimiri boliviensis boliviensis (Bolivian squirrel monkey)
Lineage: Eukaryota; Metazoa; Chordata; Mammalia; Primates; Cebidae
Source: RefSeq, a predicted model, not a curated record
AUGCCGCGGCUGUGGCGCCUGGCGCCCCUGGUGCUCUUCUGCCCCUUCUCCAAGGGCCUGCAGGGCCGGCUCCUGGGCCUGAGGGUCAGAUGUGUCUUCCUGGCCUGGCUGGGCGUGUUUGCGGGCAGCUGGUUGGUGUACAUGCGCUACUCAUCCUACUUGGAGCUCUGUCGCGGCCAGUCUGCCAGGUGGUCAUCUGUGGCCAGUACCACCAGGGCAUCAUCUCGGGCUCCAUCUGCCAGGACCUGUGUGAGCUGCGUCUGGUGGCAUGGAGGACCUGCCUCUCGGCGGCCCCCGGCCAGCAGGUAUACAGUGGGCUCUGGCGAGACAAGGAUGUGACCAUCAAGUGUGGCAUCAAGGAGGCGCUGGACUCCAAGGCCCAGUGGGACGCGCCCCCCCGGCGGGAGCGGGUGCUCUUCGACAAGCCCACCAGGGGCACCUCAAUCAAGGAGUUUCGGGAGAUGACCCUCAGCUUCCUCAAGGCGAACCUGGGCGACCUGCCUUCCCUGCCGGCGCUGGUGGGCCAGGUCCUGCUCAUGGCCGACUUCAACAAGCACAACCGGGUGUCGCUGGUGGAAGCCAAGUCCGUGUGGGCCCUGCUGCAGCAUAACGAGUUCCUGCUGCUGCUGUCCCUGCAGGAAAAGGAGCACGCCUCCCGACUGCUGGGUUACUGCGGGGACCUCUGCCUCACCGAGGGCAUGCCUCACGGUGCCUGGCACCCCUGCAGGGUGCCCUCCAGCAGUGGCUGGGGCCCGCUUGGCCGUGGCGGGCCAAGAUCGUCAUCGCCCUGCUGGUGUUCUUGGAGGAGCUCUUCCACAGCGCCUACGGGACCUUCUACAUGUGCGAGACCACGCUGGCCAACGUGGGCUACACAGCCACAUACGACUUCAAGAUGGCCGACCUACAGCAGGUGGUCCCCGAGGCCGCCGUGCGCUGCUUCCUGCAGGGCCGCGGCCGCGAGCACAGCGCCGACUGCACCUGCGGGCGCGACUGCAGGGCCCCGUGCGACAGGCUCAUGCAGCAGUGCAUGCAACUUCAUCAAAGUACAGCAACGUAG